This 497-nucleotide ribosomal RNA is filed under the name uncultured bacterium. Its description in RNAcentral is "partial 16S ribosomal RNA". It matches the Rfam family "Bacterial small subunit ribosomal RNA", at positions 28 to 507 of the family's 1533-position model. The record is from RNAcentral.
GAUGAACGCUGGCGGCGUGCCUAAUACAUGCAAGUCGAGCGGACGGACGAUAAUCUUGCUUCUCUGAUGUUAGCGGCGGACGGGUGAGUAACACGUGGAUAACCUACCUAUAAGACUGGGAUAACUUCGAGAAACCGUAGCUAAUACCGGGUAAUAUUUUGAACCGCAUGGUUCAAAAGUGAAAGACGGUCUUGCUGUCACUUCUACAUGUAUCCGUGCUGCAUUGGCGAGUUGGUAAGGUAACGGCUUACCAAGGCAACGAUGCAUGGCCGACCUGAGAGGGUGAUGGGCGCCACUGGAGCUGAGCCACGGUCCAGAGUCCUACGGGAGGCAGAAGUAGGGAAUCGUGGGAAAUGGGCGGAAGACUGAAGGAGCAACGCAGCGUGGGUGAUGCAGGUCUUCGGAUCGUAAGACUCUGUUAUGAGGGAAGAACACUUGUGUAAGGAACUAAGCAUAUCGUGACGGUACCUAAUCAGAAAGCCACGGCUAACUACGUG